This 569-nucleotide ribosomal RNA is filed under the name uncultured bacterium. RNAcentral describes it as "partial 16S ribosomal RNA". It matches the Rfam family "Bacterial small subunit ribosomal RNA", at positions 356 to 914 of the family's 1533-position model. The record is from RNAcentral.
AGGGAAUCUUCGGCAAUGGGGGCAACCCUGACCGAGCAACGCCGCGUGAGUGAAGAAGGUUUUCGGAUCGUAAAGCUCUGUUGUAAGUCAAGAACGGGUGUGAGAGUGGAAAGUUCACACUGUGACGGUAGCUUACCAGAAAGGGACGGCUAACUACGUGCCAGCAGCCGCGGUAAUACGUAGGUCCCGAGCGUUGUCCGGAUUUAUUGGGCGUAAAGCGAGCGCAGGCGGUUUGAUAAGUCUGAAGUUAAAGGCUGUGGCUCAACCAUAGUUCGCUUUGGAAACUGUCAAACUUGAGUGCAGAAGGGGAGAGUGGAAUUCCAUGUGUAGCGGUGAAAUGCGUAGAUAUAUGGAGGAACACCGGUGGCGAAAGCGGCUCUCUGGUCUGUAACUGACACUGAGGCUCGAAAGCGUGGGGAGCGAACAGGAUUAGAUACCCUGGUAGUCCACGCCGUAAACGAUGAGUGCUAGGUGUUGGAUCCUUUCCGGGAUUCAGUGCCGCAGCUAACGCAUUAAGCACUCCGCCUGGGGAGUACGACCGCAAGGUUGAAACUCUAAAGUGAAUUGAC